GCUCAGGACGAACGCUGGCGGCGUGCCUAACACAUGCAAGUCGAGCGGAGAUAUGUAGAGGAAGUUUUCGGAUGGAUUUUAUAUAUUUUAGCGGCGGACGGGUGAGUAACGCGUGAGGAACCUGCCCUUUACAGGGGGAUAACGCACCGAAAGGUGCACUAAUACCGCAUGAGACCACAGCACCGCAUGGUGCAGGGGUCAAAGGAGUAAUCCGGUGAAGGAGGGACUCGCGUCCGAUUAGAUAGUUGGUGGGGUAACGGCUCACCAAUUCAACGAUCGUUAGCCGACCUGAGAGGGUGAUCGGCCACAUUGGAACUGAGACACGGUCCAAACUCCUACGGGAGGCAGCAGUGGGGAAUAUUGGUCAAUGGAGGCAACUCUGAACCAGCCAAGUCGCGUGAAGGACGAAGGUCUUAUGGAUUGUAAACUUCUUUUGCAAGGGAAUAAAGUGGGGGACGUGUCCUCCUUUGCAUGUACCUUGCGAAUAAGGAUCGGCUAACUCCGUGCCAGCAGCCGCGGUAAUACGGAGGAUCCGAGCGUUAUCCGGAUUUAUUGGGUUUAAAGGGUGCGCAGGCGGGAUGUUAAGUCGGCGGUGAAAUUUUGCAGCUCAACUGUAAAAGUGCCUUCGAUACUGGCUUUCUUGAGUGUGGAUGAAGUAGGCGGAAUUUGUGGUGUAGCGGUGAAAUGCUUAGAUAUCACGAGGAACUCCGAUUGCGCAGGCAGCUUACUAAACCACUACUGACGCUCAUGCACGAAGGCGUGGGGAUCAAACAGGAUUAGAUACCCUGGUAGUCCACGCAGUAAACGAUGAUUACUAGUUGUUUGCGAUACAAUGUAAGCGACUGAGCGAAAGCGUUAAGUAAUCCACCUGGGGAGUACGUUCGCAAGAAUGAAACUCAAAGGAAUUGACGGGGGCCCGCACAAGCGGAGGAACAUGUGGUUUAAUUCGAUGAUACGCGAGGAACCUUACCCGGGCUUGAAAUGCGGCGGACCGGCAGAGAGAUCUGCCUUCCCUUCGGGGCCGCCGUGUGGGUGCUGCAUGGUUGUCGUCAGCUCGUGCCGUGAGGUGUCGGCUUAAGUGCCAUAACGAGCGCAACCCUCAUCAUUAGUUACUAACAGGUCAUGCUGAGGACUCUAGUGAGACUGCCAUCGUAAGAUGCGAGGAAGGUGGGGAGGACGUCAAAUCAGCACGGCCCUUACGUCCGGGGCGACACACGUGUUACAAUGGGUGGUACAAAGGGCAGCUACCUGGCGACAGGAUGCUAAUCUCCAAAACCACUCUCAGUUCGGAUCGGAGUCUGCAACUCGACUCCGUGAAGCUGGAUUCGCUAGUAAUCGCGCAUCAGCCACGGCGCGGUGA
RNAcentral lists this ribosomal RNA (1360 nucleotides) under uncultured bacterium. RNAcentral describes it as "bacterial SSU rRNA". It matches the Rfam family "Bacterial small subunit ribosomal RNA", at positions 22 to 1365 of the family's 1533-position model. The record is from RNAcentral.